RNAcentral lists this ribosomal RNA (459 nucleotides) under uncultured bacterium. Its description in RNAcentral is "partial 16S ribosomal RNA". It matches the Rfam family "Bacterial small subunit ribosomal RNA", at positions 338 to 795 of the family's 1533-position model. The record is from RNAcentral.
CCUACGGGGAGCUGCAGUGAGGAAUAUUGGUCAAUGGCCGGAAGGCUGAACCAGCCAAGCCGCGUGAAGGACGAAGGUGCCAAGCAUUGUAAACUUCUUUUGUCAAGGGACAAAAUCAGGCUCGAGAGCCUGACCGAGGGUACUGGAAGAAAAAGCAUCGGCGAACUCCGUGCCAGAGGCCGCGGGAAUACGGAGGAUGCGAGAGUUAUCCGGAUGUAUUGGGUUUAAAGGGUGCGUAGGCGGAAUGCCAAGUCAGAGGUAAAAUCGCGGGGCUCAACCUCGAUCCGCCGUUGAAACUGGCGUUCUUGAGUGGGCGAGAAGUAUGCGGAAUGCGUGGUGUAGCGGUGAAAUGCAUAGAUAUCACGCAGAACUCCGAUUGCGAAGGCAGCAUACCGGCGCCCAACUGACGCUGAAGCACGAAAGCGUGGGUAUCGAACAGGAUUAGAUACCCGAGUAGUC